CCUUCCCUAUCCACCCCUUGAUUAUCCUCUCUUCCUGUUCCUCAGGGGAGCAGUCAAAUCCAGCAGGCAUCUGGGACCUCAUUCUGUCUCUCCACUGAGUCUGUCUCACUUCCUGGAAAAGCAAAUCAUCAGGAACCACUUCCUCCCUGGACCAAACAUCAAGAGCAUCCUUGACAACACGCACCGGUUCUGGCUGCCGACAGACCUUUUCAGAUGGGACGAACUUCCAAUCAAUUCUCAUUUCUUCCAGGCAUCUUUGCUGAGUGGAAGAGAAGUGCAACAGAGAAAAAAGCUCAGUAAUGGCAGGACCCCAGAUUUGACCAAGGUGGCAAAAUAUCCAGCCUGUUAAUAAAACAGAUUAAUAAAUUCUGUAAUUUCCAUCUUCUGGUUGAGCAAUAAAAC
Molecule: long non-coding RNA, 402 nt
Filed under: Capra hircus (goat)
Lineage: Eukaryota; Metazoa; Chordata; Mammalia; Artiodactyla; Bovidae
Description: lncRNA (ENSCHIG00000007057.1)
Source: RNAcentral